This 799-nucleotide ribosomal RNA is filed under the name uncultured Glomus. RNAcentral describes it as "SSU rRNA". It matches the Rfam family "Eukaryotic small subunit ribosomal RNA", at positions 314 to 1114 of the family's 1831-position model. Lineage: Eukaryota; Fungi; Glomeromycota; Glomeromycetes; Glomerales; Glomeraceae. The record is from RNAcentral.
AUCAACUUUCGAUGGUAGGAUAGAGGCCUACCAUGGUGGUAACGGGUAACGGGGUGUUAGGGCACGACACCGGAGAGGGAGCCUGAGAAACGGCUACCACAUCCAAGGAUGGCAGCAGGCGCGCAAAUUACCCAAUCCCGACACGGGGAGGUAGUGACAAUAAAUAACAAUACGGGGUUCUUUAGGAUUUCGUAAUUGGAAUGAGUACAAUUUAAAUCUCUUAACGAGGAACAAUUGGAGGGCAAGUCUGGUGCCAGCAGCCGCGGUAAUUCCAGCUCCAAUAGCGUAUAUUAAAGUUGUUGCAGUUAAAAAGCUCGUAGUUGAAUUUCGGGGUCAGUAGGUUGGUCAUGCCACUGGUAUGUACUGGUCUCACUGAUUCCUCCUUCCUGAUGAGCCGUAAUGCCAUUAAUUUGGUGUUGCGAGGAAUCUGGACUGUUACUUUGAAAAAAUUAGUGUGUUUAAAGCAGGCUAACGCUUGAAUACAUUAGCAUGGAAUAAUGAAAUAGGACGUUCGAUCUUAUUUUGUUGGUUUCUAAGAUUGACGUAAUGAUUAAUAGGGAUAGUUGGGGGCAUUAGUAUUCAAUUGUCAGAGGUGAAAUUCUUGGAUUUAUUGAAGACUAACUACUGCGAAAGCAUUUGCCAAGGAUGUUUUCAUUAAUCAAGAACGAAAGUUAGGGGAUCGAAGACGAUCAGAUACCGUCGUAGUCUUAACCAUAAACUAUGCCGACUAGGGAUCGGAUGAUGUUAAUUUUUUAAUGACUCAUUCGGCGCCUUACGGGAAACCAAAGUGUUUGGGUUC